GUUGGGUUAAGUCCCGCAACGAGCGCAACCCUCGCCUUCAGUUGCCAUCAUUCAGUUGGGCACUCUGAAGGAACUGCCGGUGACAAGCCGGAGGAAGGUGGGGAUGACGUCAAGUCCUCAUGGCCCUUACAGGUGGGGCUACACACGUGCUACAAUGGCGACCACAGAGGGGAGCGACCCUGCGAGGGGCAGCCAAUCUCGAAAAGUCGUCUCAGUUCGGAUUGCAGGCUGAAACUCGCCUACAUGAAGUUGGAGUUGCUAGUAAUCGCGAAUCAGAAUGUCGCGGUGAAUGCGUUCCCGGGUCUU
RNAcentral lists this ribosomal RNA (306 nucleotides) under uncultured Rhodospirillaceae bacterium. RNAcentral's name for it is "bacterial SSU rRNA". It matches the Rfam family "Bacterial small subunit ribosomal RNA", at positions 1074 to 1382 of the family's 1533-position model. The record is from RNAcentral. Lineage: Bacteria; Pseudomonadati; Pseudomonadota; Alphaproteobacteria; Rhodospirillales; Rhodospirillaceae.